CAUCAUUAACGUCGCUCAGAACUUAUAUGUUUUAAUUAAAAAAGGCGACUUGAAGAAAUGUGACGUUACGCAGACGACCGCGUUUCUUCUCAACAUCGCAAAGUCAACUGUUCUCAAGUACUACAAGAAAGACAUUGAAGAAGUUUCAACACCAGGAAAAAAGAGGAAAAAAAGGCCACAGGAAGGAAAGUCACUUGACACAGUCGACGAUUUCACAGUAAAUGCAAUCAGGAAUGCAAUUUACAGGAUGUACGCUGAAGGUUUGAAUGUUACAGUCGACACCAUUUUGAAAGAAAUCAGGGAAAGACAAAUAGAUUAUUAUGGUGGAAGAUCAAGUCUUCAUAAAUUGUUAAAGAAGAUGGGAUUUUCAUGGACAACUGUUGAUGGACGAAAAGCUUUGAUAGAGAAUGAAAACAUAGUAUUGAAGCGAA
Bacillus rossius redtenbacheri is the source of this 431-nucleotide long non-coding RNA. RefSeq lists it as uncharacterized. The transcript is spliced from 3 exons. NCBI's taxonomy places the organism in Eukaryota, Metazoa, Arthropoda, Insecta, Phasmatodea, Bacillidae. The record is from RefSeq and is a predicted model, not a curated record.